Molecule: ribosomal RNA, 200 nt
Filed under: Klebsiella sp.
Lineage: Bacteria; Pseudomonadati; Pseudomonadota; Gammaproteobacteria; Enterobacterales; Enterobacteriaceae
Description: partial 16S ribosomal RNA
Rfam family: Bacterial small subunit ribosomal RNA
Source: RNAcentral
AGUGGGGAAUAUUAGCAGCAAUGGGCGCAAAGCCUGAUGCAGCCAUGCCGCGUGAGUGAAGAAGGCCUUCGGGUUGUAAAGCACUUUCAGCGGGGAGGAAGGCGGUGAGGUUAAUAACCUCAUCGAUUGACGUUACCCGCAGAAGAAGCACCGGCUAACUCCGUGCCAGCAGCCGCGGUAAUACGGAGGGUGCAAGCGUU